GUACUUGCUUCAGCAGCACAUACAUUAUAACCGGAGCAGGACAUACGCUAAAACCGGAGCAAUACAGAGAAGAUUAGCAUGGCCCUCACCCAAAGAUGACACGCAAAUUUGUGAAGUAUUCCUUUUAUUU
This 130-nucleotide small nuclear RNA is filed under the name Nomascus leucogenys (northern white-cheeked gibbon). The record is from RNAcentral. Lineage: Eukaryota; Metazoa; Chordata; Mammalia; Primates; Hylobatidae.